AAGACCUUGCGCUUUUGGAGCGGCCGAUGCCUGAUUAGCUUGUUGGUAAGGUAAAAGCUUACCAAGGCUUCGAUCAGUAGCUGGUCUGAGAGGACGGCCAGCCACACUGGGACUGAGACACGGCCCAGACUCCUACGGGAGGCAGCAGUGGGGAAUUUUGGACAAUGGGGGCAACCCUGAUCCAGCCAUGCCGCGUGAGUGAAGAAGGCCUUCGGGUUGUAAAGCUCUUUCAGCCGGAACGAAACGGCUACGGUUAAUACCCGUGAUUACUGACGGUACCGGAAGAAGAAGCACCGGCUAACUACGUGCCAGCAGCCGCGGUAAUACGUAGGGUGCGAGCGUUAAUCGGAAUUACUGGGCGUAAAGCGUGCGCAGGUGGUUUUGUAAGUCAGAUGUGAAAGCCCCGGGCUCAACCUGGGAACU
This 423-nucleotide ribosomal RNA is filed under the name uncultured bacterium. Its description in RNAcentral is "bacterial SSU rRNA". It matches the Rfam family "Bacterial small subunit ribosomal RNA", at positions 207 to 622 of the family's 1533-position model. The record is from RNAcentral.